AAAGGAUUAGUUAAUUACAUAACAUCAGAAUGUCAAACUGAAAUAAUCAUUGAAGAUAUCCUUUU
RNAcentral lists this transfer RNA (65 nucleotides) under Subulitermes group sp. A TB-2017. RNAcentral's name for it is "tRNA-Asp". Lineage: Eukaryota; Metazoa; Arthropoda; Insecta; Blattodea; Termitidae. The record is from RNAcentral.